AUUGAACGCUGGCGGCAGGCCUAACACAUGCAAGUCGAACGGUAACAGGAAGAAGCUUGCUUCUUUGCUGACGAGUGGCGGACGGGUGAGUAAUGUCUGGGAAACUGCCUGAUGGAGGGGGAUAACUACUGGAAACGGUAGCUAAUACCGCAUAACGUCGCAAGACCAAAGAGGGGGACUUUCGGGCCUCUUGCCAUCGGAUGUGCCCAGAUGGGAUUAGCUAGUAGGUGGGGUAACGGCUCACCUAGGCGACGAUCCCUAGCUGGUCUGAGAGGAUGACCAGCCACACUGGAACUGAGACACGGUCCAGACUCCUACGGGAGGCAGCAGUGGGGAAUAUUGCACAAUGGGCGAAAGCCUGAUGCAGCCAUGCCGCGUGUAUGAAGAAGGCCUUCGGGUUGUAAAGUACUUUCAGCGGGGAGGAAGGGAGUAAAGUUAAUACCUUUGCUCAUUGACGUUACCCGCAGAAGAAGCACCGGCUAACUCCGUG
Molecule: ribosomal RNA, 490 nt
Filed under: uncultured bacterium
Lineage: Bacteria
Description: partial 16S ribosomal RNA
Rfam family: Bacterial small subunit ribosomal RNA
Source: RNAcentral